Molecule: ribosomal RNA, 517 nt
Filed under: Chryseobacterium sp. RP1
Lineage: Bacteria; Pseudomonadati; Bacteroidota; Flavobacteriia; Flavobacteriales; Weeksellaceae
Also listed under: 1 other name
Description: bacterial SSU rRNA
Rfam family: Bacterial small subunit ribosomal RNA
Source: RNAcentral
UGGAGAGUUUGAUCCUGGCUCAGGAUGAACGCUAGCGGGAGGCCUAACACAUGCAAGCCGAGCGGUAGAGAUCUUUCGGGAUCUUGAGAGCGGCGUACGGGUGCGGAACACGUGUGCAACCUGCCUUUAUCUGGGGGAUAGCCUUUCGAAAGGAAGAUUAAUACCCCAUAAUAUUUUGAAUGGCAUCAUUUAAAAUUGAAAACUCCGGUGGAUAGAGAUGGGCACGCGCAAGAUUAGAUAGUUGGUGAGGUAACGGCUCACCAAGUCGAUGAUCUUUAGGGGGCCUGAGAGGGUGAUCCCCCACACUGGUACUGAGACACGGACCAGACUCCUACGGGAGGCAGCAGUGAGGAAUAUUGGACAAUGGGUUAGCGCCUGAUCCAGCCAUCCCGCGUGAAGGACGACGGCCCUAUGGGUUGUAAACUUCUUUUGUACAGGGAUAAACCUAUCUACGUGUAGAUAGCUGAAGGUACUGUACGAAUAAGCACCGGCUAACUCCGUGCCAGCAGCCGCGGUA